GACAACCUGGUUGAUCCUGCCAGUAGUCAUAUGCUUGUCUCAAAGAUUAAGCCAUGCAUGUCUCAGUACAAGCCAAAAUAAGGUGAAACCGCGAAAGGCUCAUUAAAUCAGUUAUGGUUCCUUAGAUCGUACCAACAUUUACUUGGAUAACUGUGGUAAUUCUAGAGCUAAUACAUGCAAACAGAGCUUCGACCGGAGACGGAAGAGGCGCUUUUAUUAGAUCAAAACCAAUCGGCGGCGGGUCCGCUUGCGGGCUCGUCGUCGUUUUCACUGACGAAUCUGAAUAACUUUCUGCUGAUCGCACGGUCUCGCACCGGCGACGCAUCUUUCAAAUGUCUGCCUUAUCAACUGUCGAUGGUAGGUUCUGUGCCUACCAUGGUUGUAACGGGUAACGGGGAAUCAGGGUUCGAUUCCGGAGAGGGAGCCUGAGAAACGGCUACCACAUCCAAGGAAGGCAGCAGGCGCGCAAAUUACCCACUCCCGGCACGGGGAGGUAGUGACGAAAAAUAACGAUACGGGACUCAUCCGAGGCCCCGUAAUCGGAAUGAGAACAAUUUAAAUCCUUUAAC
This 569-nucleotide ribosomal RNA is filed under the name Microtrichalus sp. BM0115. RNAcentral describes it as "SSU rRNA". It matches the Rfam family "Eukaryotic small subunit ribosomal RNA", at positions 1 to 538 of the family's 1831-position model. The record is from RNAcentral. Lineage: Eukaryota; Metazoa; Arthropoda; Insecta; Coleoptera; Lycidae.